This 24-nucleotide microRNA is filed under the name Gyrodactylus salaris (gyrodactylosis fluke). RNAcentral describes it as "gsa-miR-87-5p". Its record names the gene gsa-miR-87-5p. Lineage: Eukaryota; Metazoa; Platyhelminthes; Monogenea; Gyrodactylidea; Gyrodactylidae. The record is from miRBase by way of RNAcentral.
ACGCCUGAUACUAGGCUCUUACCA